Molecule: transfer RNA, 70 nt
Filed under: Neotoma lepida (desert woodrat)
Lineage: Eukaryota; Metazoa; Chordata; Mammalia; Rodentia; Cricetidae
Rfam family: tRNA
About the family: Transfer RNA (tRNA) molecules are approximately 80 nucleotides in length. Their secondary structure includes four short double-helical elements and three loops (D, anti-codon, and T loops). Further hydrogen bonds mediate the characteristic L-shaped molecular structure. tRNAs have two regions of fundamental functional importance: the anti-codon, which is responsible for specific mRNA codon recognition, and the 3' end, to which the tRNAs corresponding amino acid is attached (by aminoacyl-tRNA synthetases). tRNAs cope with the degeneracy of the genetic code in two manners: having more than one tRNA (with a specific anti-codon) for a particular amino acid; and 'wobble' base-pairing, i.e. permitting non-standard base-pairing at the 3rd anti-codon position.
Source: Rfam by way of RNAcentral
GGCACUGUAGCUCAGUGGAUGGAGUGCGUGCCUAUGAUGCAGGAAGCCCUGGGUUCGAUUCCCAGCACCA